AUACGGAGGAUCCAAGCGUUAUCCGGAAUCAUUGGGUUUAAAGGGUCCGUAGGUGGAUAAUUAAGUCAGAGGUGAAAGUCUGCAGCUCAACUGUAGAAUUGCCUUUGAUACUGGUUAUCUUGAGUCAUUAUGAAGUGGUUAGAAUAUGUAGUGUAGCGGUGAAAUGCAUAGAUAUUACAUAGAAUACCAAUUGCGAAGGCAGAUCACUAAUAAUGUACUGACACUGAUGGACGAAAGCGUGGGGAGCGAACAGGAUUAGAUACCCUGGUAGUCCACGCCGUAAACGAUGGUCACUAGCUGUUCGAACUUCGGUUUGAGUGGCUAAGCGAAAGUGAUAAGUGACCCACCUGGGGAGUACGUUCGCAAGAAUGAA
Molecule: ribosomal RNA, 373 nt
Filed under: uncultured bacterium
Lineage: Bacteria
Description: bacterial SSU rRNA
Rfam family: Bacterial small subunit ribosomal RNA
Source: RNAcentral